CCCCUCUGAAAUCUUCCCGCCCCGAUUUUUUUUAUUUUAGAAAAAAAUACGAUUUCCGGAUUUUGUUCAUUUCCGAUACCGGUAUCCGUCGAUAAUUUCGUUUCAUGUAAAACUUCCUGUUUCAAAUUUCGGUUUUCGUAUUUCUUAGCGUAUUCUUACUGAAUGAUUAAGUUGAUAUAUUCUGCUGAUCUAUGAUGACAAUAUCAUUUACCGAGAAUAGAGAUUGAUUACGAGAAGGGCGUGAAAUAUUCGGGUUACGAGUAAUACGCUGUGUCCAAGAACGCAAAUCGCUGUAUGUCACAA
Molecule: long non-coding RNA, 303 nt
Filed under: Mytilus galloprovincialis (Mediterranean mussel)
Lineage: Eukaryota; Metazoa; Mollusca; Bivalvia; Mytilida; Mytilidae
Source: RNAcentral